AACGAACGCUGGCGGCAUGCCUAACACAUGCAAGUCGAACGAGACCUUCGGGUCUAUUGUCGCACGGGUGCGUAACGCGUGGGAACCUGCCCUUAGGUUCGGAAUAACUCCCCGAAAGGGGUGCUAAUACCGGAUAAUGUCUUCGGACCAAAGAUUUAUCGCCUUUGGAUGGGCCCGCGUUGGAUUAGCUAGUUGGUAGGGUAAAAGCCUACCAAGGCGACGAUCCAUAGCUGGUCUGAGAGGAUGAUCAGCCACACUGGGACUGAGACACGGCCCAGACUCCUACGGGAGGCAGCAGUGGGGAAUAUUGGACAAUGGGCGAAAGCCUGAUCCAGCAAUGCCGCGUGAGUGAUGAAGGCCUUAGGGUUGUAAAGCUCUUUUACCCGGGAUGAUAAUGACAGUACCGGGAGAAUAAGCUCCGGCUAACUCCGUG
This 433-nucleotide ribosomal RNA is filed under the name uncultured bacterium. RNAcentral's name for it is "partial 16S ribosomal RNA". It matches the Rfam family "Bacterial small subunit ribosomal RNA", at positions 29 to 507 of the family's 1533-position model. The record is from RNAcentral.